RNAcentral lists this ribosomal RNA (568 nucleotides) under Pseudomonas sp. 4A6. RNAcentral's name for it is "bacterial SSU rRNA". It matches the Rfam family "Bacterial small subunit ribosomal RNA", at positions 144 to 707 of the family's 1533-position model. RNAcentral also lists the same sequence under 4 other names. Lineage: Bacteria; Pseudomonadati; Pseudomonadota; Gammaproteobacteria; Pseudomonadales; Pseudomonadaceae. The record is from RNAcentral.
UAACGUUUCGAAAGGAACGCUAAUACCGCAUACGUCCUACGGGAGAAAGUGGGGGAUCUUCGGACCUCACGCUAUCAGAUGAGCCUAGGUCGGAUUAGCUAGUUGGUGGGGUAAUGGCCCACCAAGGCGACGAUCCGUAACUGGUCUGAGAGGAUGAUCAGUCACACUGGAACUGAGACACGGUCCAGACUCCUACGGGAGGCAGCAGUGGGGAAUAUUGGACAAUGGGCGAAAGCCUGAUCCAGCCAUGCCGCGUGUGUGAAGAAGGUCUUCGGAUUGUAAAGCACUUUAAGUUGGGAGGAAGGGCAGUAAGCGAAUACCUUGCUGUUUUGACGUUACCAACAGAAUAAGCACCGGCUAACUUCGUGCCAGCAGCCGCGGUAAUACGAAGGGUGCAAGCGUUAAUCGGAAUUACUGGGCGUAAAGCGCGCGUAGGUGGUUCAGCAAGUUGGAUGUGAAAGCCCCGGGCUCAACCUGGGAAUUGCAUCCAAAACUACUGAGCUAGAGUACGGUAGAGGGUGGUGGAAUUUCCUGUGUAGCGGUGAAAUGCGUAGAUAUAGGAAGGAAC